This 571-nucleotide long non-coding RNA is filed under the name Vigna radiata. RNAcentral's name for it is "long non-coding RNA (VRAD_LNC002042)". Lineage: Eukaryota; Viridiplantae; Streptophyta; Magnoliopsida; Fabales; Fabaceae. The record is from RNAcentral.
UCUCAAACAAUCAACAUCUUUACAUGCAAAUGCCAUCAAAAGGACUUUUUCAAGGCUUGUAAUGAGGUUGGGCUAACAAGAAAAAUUGGUUUUUCUCGAAUGCAAAAUCCUUGAGUCAAGAGAGCUAACAAAAUAUUCAAUAAUUAAGCACAACUCUCUCACCAAUGUCUCUCAUUCCAAAUUUCUUCCUUUUUCUUUUCUUUUUCAUUGAGCUCAUCUUAAUGCUUUUCUUUUUAUCAUCAAUUUUUCUCUUUUCACAACUAUUGAGCUCAAUGCCUUUCACUUGCUUUUUCAACUUUCCCCCGUACAACCCCAAACUUGAACCUUUUCAUCACAUACAAUUAAGCUCAUCCCAACUCAAGGUAAAGAAUGUCAAAACAUGGGUUCAUAUCCUGUUUAAGGCUAAGGUUCAAAAAGGGUAGAAUAUUUUCAAGCAUUUUGGGUGAAAAUUUGGCUAGAGAAGGGUUCUCAAAAAUGGCCUUGAUCAUAUGACAUUCACAUGCAAUUCAAUCGAUCAUCAAGAUUAAGGCAAUAUCAUCCAUGUUUUCCUGUGAACAAUGCAUACAACAAU